RNAcentral lists this long non-coding RNA (1606 nucleotides) under Homo sapiens (human). Its description in RNAcentral is "HSALNT0219343". The record is from RNAcentral. Lineage: Eukaryota; Metazoa; Chordata; Mammalia; Primates; Hominidae.
GGCAGGGAUCUGGAACUCUGGAAUACAGCAAUCACCUAUUAGUAUUGGUAGUUUUUUGUUUGUUUUUGUUUUUCCUUUUAUGUUGGUGUGUUUCCCUGGAAGGGAAUCCUCUGUUCUCUUGCCUGAUGAUACUGGUGGUGGUGGCAGCAGGGGAGGUGUAAGACUGGCUGCCAGCAUUCUCAGGGCUGAGUGGGGAAAGAGGUCUGAAGGUGAUGACUCCCAUUUCAGUAUGUGGACUCCCAUGUCUUCUGCUUGCUCCUCCCCAGAGAGUAAACCUUUAACCUUCUGCUGAGACUGGACAGGUGAUUUGUGGGACUAUUACACUUCUGCCAACUUCCAACUAAUCCUAUUUUCAGGUUAAUCUGCACCUUUACCUUUCAUGGUAACUGAGCUCUCCUAGAAGUUGAACCAUCAAUCAGUUUGCUUAUAGCUCUUUGCUCCCACCCCCAACAGCAGACUCUUAAUGGUUGUUUUUUUUUUUUAAAUGUUAUUGAGUAUAACAUAGACAGAAAAGCACAAGACCGUAGGUGUGCAGCUGGAUGGAUGCUUGCAUGUCUCUACCCCUGUAACCACCACCUUGAUCAAGAUACAGAACAUUUUCAUCAUGUAUGAAGAUUCCCUUGUGAUUCUUACCAGAAAAUACCCCUCAACCAAAGAUGAGUCAGUGCCAUGUGGGAAGAGGAGGGCAAAAUUUCAUAGAACUCCUGGCAAUUGAGCAUUAGGAUGAAACUCUGAACAUACGUCUGGACUGAGGAUUCUCUUGCCAAAUCUGUGGUCAGCAGGUCACUACUGGAGUUUAGAGAAAGAUGUGUCUUCUAUUCAGAUCAACCAGCCUACAGAAAUAAUCUUUUAGAGGGCCCUAUUCACGCUUAACCCAGUUUUGUUUUGGUUUAUGUUUUGAAAAUGUAUGAAAGUCUCAAUUUAUUUUUUAAAAAAUAUUAUGAACUAGAAUAUAAAAGUGACAAAUACAGUACAUUUAAAACGCACAUACUCAUUUCCAUUGCUUGGAAGCUUUAUGAAAACAGAAAUCAGAGGAUAAGGCCAACAGGGCGGAGUGGGGAGCGGGGAGAUCCCCUCAAGACGGAGAAGGCCUGGUGAGGAGAGGCAGAGGGGUUCUGGGAGAGGUCGGAGCAGGUACCUCAGGGGGUCUUAAAACAUGGUUCUCCGAUAAAACGAUAACCUCUUAUAGUGUUUAUAGAACUCAGAAAUGAUAUUUAUUUAACUUUAUUAUGAGGCAAUACAUAUUUUCCUGUAUUUCUAGAUAUAGUUUGGAAAACUCUCCUUAAUAGUCUGUUUUGUAUGCCUUGUAUUUAAAAGUUUUAGUCAUUUUUGAAAGACUAUUGCUGCUGCAAAUAGUUGUGUGCUUUACAUUCUCAGCUUCAGUCAAUUUUUUAAUGUAAGAGCAUCAUAAUCUAACCCGAGCAUCCACUUGGAGAAUGUUUUUUUGUGUGUGGUCUAGGGUGACAAAAGACCACAAAAAUGUGUGGCCUAGAUUUUUCCAACUAUGUCAUUAACUUCAUGAUCCAAGACCAGUUAUAGGAUGAGUCUAUAUGUGAAAAUAAAGUCUGAUUUAUGGAAGGAAUUAUUCUAAGGGAAAAACCCAGGG